This 533-nucleotide ribosomal RNA is filed under the name uncultured bacterium. RNAcentral's name for it is "bacterial SSU rRNA". It matches the Rfam family "Bacterial small subunit ribosomal RNA", at positions 355 to 896 of the family's 1533-position model. The record is from RNAcentral.
UGGGNNNNNUUGCACAAUGGGCGCAAGCCUGAUGCAGCGACGCCGCGUGGGGGAUGACGGCCUUCGGGUUGUAAACUCCUUUCGCUAGGGACGAAGCUUUUUGUGACGGUACCUAGAUAAGAAGCACCGGCUAACUACGUGCCAGCAGCCGCGGUAAUACGUAGGGUGCGAGCGUUGUCCGGAAUUACUGGGCGUAAAGGGCUCGUAGGUGGUUUGUCGCGUCGUCUGUGAAAUUCCGGGGCUUAACUCCGGGCGUGCAGGCGAUACGGGCAUAACUUGAGUACUGUAGGGGUAACUGGAAUUCCUGGUGUAGCGGUGAAAUGCGCAGAUAUCAGGAGGAACACCGAUGGCGAAGGCAGGUUACUGGGCAGUUACUGACGCUGAGGAGCGAAAGCAUGGGUAGCGAACAGGAUUAGAUACCCUGGUAGUCCAUGCCGUAAACGGUGGGCGCUAGGUGUGAGGGUCUUUUCACGACUUUCGUGCCGUAGCUAACGCAUUAAGCGCCCCGCCUGGGGAGUACGGCCGCAAGGCUA